This 253-nucleotide ribosomal RNA is filed under the name uncultured bacterium. Its description in RNAcentral is "partial 16S ribosomal RNA". It matches the Rfam family "Bacterial small subunit ribosomal RNA", at positions 524 to 776 of the family's 1533-position model. The record is from RNAcentral.
UACGUAGGCAGCAAGCGUUGUUCGGAAUUACUGGGCGUAAAGGGUGUGUAGGCGGUGCUCCAAGUCUGGUGUGAAAUCUCCCGGCUCAACUGGGAGGGUGCGCCGAAUACUGAGAGGCUAGAGUGUGGGAGAGGAAAGUGGAAUUCCUGGUGUAGCGGUGAAAUGCGUAGAUAUCAGGAGGAACACCGGUGGUGUAAACGGCUUUCUGGACCAUAACUGACGCUGAUGCACGAAAGCGUGGGUAGCAAACAGG